This is a non-coding RNA of Punica granatum (pomegranate), 1431 nucleotides long. The record is from RefSeq and is a predicted model, not a curated record. Lineage: Eukaryota; Viridiplantae; Streptophyta; Magnoliopsida; Myrtales; Lythraceae.
CCCCCUCUUCUUUUCCCCUUCUUUCACUGAAGUCCCUCUGUCAUCUUCGACACACCGCGGUCGCCCACCCACCGCGACGGCAUGCCACCACUGACACGCUCGCCCGACACGCCACCGCUCACUUCCCCUGCACGCUCCCCUGCCGCUUUCACUCUCUCUCAACUCUGGAACCCCCGGAUUCGGAUCUCUCUCGCAAGAUCGACGCCGAAUCUCACCCUCUCGCUCUCGAUUCUUCUCCCCAAUCGACCCGCGACACUUCCCUGCACAAAACUCCUCCAUUUCGUCCUCUCAAUUCCCCCGAUUUUCGGCGAUUAAACUCGAAAUCGCUCGUUGGAAAACUUGAAACCUCGCCGCAAAAAAAUCGAAAUUCCCCUCAAUCCGGACAAGCCUGAGCCUCGUAACACCGGUCUUGAGCACGGCGCAGCCCAGGCGGCGCUCGCCGCCGCCUCCCGCGCCCUCCUGCACCGUUGCCGCAGCGCCUAGGGACGGGAACCGCCGUUCUCGGCCGCCGGACUCCUCUCCUCCGCCCAACUUCAUCUUCUCCGCUCACCCUCCUUCUCACGGGCUCGGCCCAUCUUUUGGUUUAUGCAGGUCCAACCCAGCAGAUUCGGCCCAGCCCGCUCUGCCCAGUCCAGCCGAGACGAUCCGACCCGUUCCGCCUCCCCUCGGGUUCGGCCCGGAACACGCGACCCGUUUCGCCAGCAGAUUCAGUCCAGCUCCAACACCCAGCUCAGUUCGCCCGUGCUCGCGGCCCAAUGCGCCCUACCGCGGCCCAACUCCUGCGCAUUCGGCCCAACCCACGCGCACGGCCCAGACCUUCGCACUCCCGGCCCAACUCACCGGCCCAGCGCCCCUUUGUAGCCGAUCCGCACUGUUCAGACCGCCCGGUCCGGUCUAAACGCCUGGUUUAUGGUUUAAACCGAAAUUAGGGAUGCCGCACUCGGUCUCUUGAUUCGCGUCUCAACAAAGUCCGUCAGCACACGAGGAUCCCACCGAGUCUCCGGAAACCAAGAUCGACACACUUGCCAGGACAUCCCUCACUCCAAGCACAGUCAUCAUGGUAUUUUCACCAACAGCAGAAUCGAUCACCUUCGCUGGUAAGCUGCUGAGAAAGAUGAGGAACUCACCGACUAACCGUGACCUCUAGAGAGAGCUCUCCCGGACCCGCAGCAAGCUACAGAGACGCGAUCAGGAGCUCGCUUGAGCGAACACCUCCUUGGAGAGGUCUCGGAAGAAGGCUCGUGGAAGUCUUCACAUGCACCUUAGGAUAGACAUCUUUACCAGGCCCUCGCCUGGAAUUGGUGCUUUCCACGGAGAUGGUCGCUCGCGCCCCGAGCACAGUGGAAGAUCGAUUUAGGGCUUGUUUUUCAAAAUUACAUUGUAUUUUCGAACCUUGUGGAUCAAUACGAAUGACGACAUUAGCUUUCAAAA